RNAcentral lists this ribosomal RNA (458 nucleotides) under uncultured bacterium. Its description in RNAcentral is "partial 16S ribosomal RNA". It matches the Rfam family "Bacterial small subunit ribosomal RNA", at positions 338 to 795 of the family's 1533-position model. The record is from RNAcentral.
CCUACGGGUGGCAGCAGUGGGGAAUAUUGCACAAUGGGGGAAACCCUGAUGCAGCGACGCCGCGUGAGUGAAGAAGUAAUUCGUUACGUAAAGCUCUAUCAGCAGGGAAGAAAUACUGACCUUACGGUCAGCAGACGGUACCUGAGUAAGAAGCCCCGGCUAACUACGUGCCAGCAGCCGCGGUAAUACGUAGGGGGCAAGCGUUAUCCGGAUUUACUGGGUGUAAAGGGAGCGUAGACGGUGCGCCAAGUCUGGAGUGAAAUGCCGCAGCUUAACUGCGGAACUGCUUUGGAAACUGGCGAACUAGAGUGCGGGAGGGGUAAGCGGAAGUCCUAGUGUAGCGGUGAAAUGCGUAGAUAUUAGGAGGAACACCGGUGGCGAAGGCGGCUUACUGGACCGUAACUGACGUUGAGGCUCGAAAGCGUGGGGAGCAAACAGGAGUAGAUACCCGGGUAGUC